AGCAGCCGCGGUAAUUCCAGCUCCAAUAGCGUAUAUUAAAGUUGUUGCAGUUAAAAAGCUCGUAGUUGAAUUUCGGGGUCAGUAGGUUGGUCAUGCCACUGGUAUGUACUGGUCUCACUGAUUCCUCCUUCCUGAUGAGCCGUAAUGCCAUUAAUUUGGUGUUGCGAGGAAUCUGGACUGUUACUUUGAAAAAUUAGAGUGUUUAAAGCAGGCUAACGCUUGAAUACAUUAGCAUGGAAUAAUGAAGUAGGACGUUUGAUUCUAUUUUGUUGGUUUCUAGGAUCGACGUAAUGAUUAAUAGGGAUAGUUGGGGCAUUAGUAUUCAAUUGUCAGAGGUGAAAUUCUUGGAUUUAUUGAAGACUAACUACUGCGAAAGCAUUUGCCAAGGAUGUUUUACAUUAAUCAAGAACGAAAGCUAGGGGAUCGAAGACGAUCAGAUACCGUGUAGUCUUAAACCAUAAACUAUGCCGACUAGGAUCGGAUGAUGUUAAUUUAUAAUGAC
This 502-nucleotide ribosomal RNA is filed under the name uncultured Glomus. RNAcentral's name for it is "SSU rRNA". It matches the Rfam family "Eukaryotic small subunit ribosomal RNA", at positions 569 to 1076 of the family's 1831-position model. Lineage: Eukaryota; Fungi; Glomeromycota; Glomeromycetes; Glomerales; Glomeraceae. The record is from RNAcentral.